UUAAAUUGAAGAGUUUGAUCAUGGCUCAGAUUGAACGCUGGCGGCAGGCCUAACACAUGCAAGUCGGACGGUAGCACAGAGGAGCUUGCUCCUCGGGUGACGAGUGGCGGACGGGUGAGUAAUGUCUGGGGAUCUGCCCGAUAGAGGGGGAUAACCACUGGAAACGGUGGCUAAUACCGCAUAACGUCGCAAGACCAAAGAGGGGGACCUUCGGGCCUCUCACUAUCGGAUGAACCCAGAUGGGAUUAGCUAGUAGGCGGGGUAAYGGCCCACC
Molecule: ribosomal RNA, 274 nt
Filed under: Pantoea sp. AMG 501
Lineage: Bacteria; Pseudomonadati; Pseudomonadota; Gammaproteobacteria; Enterobacterales; Erwiniaceae
Description: partial 16S ribosomal RNA
Rfam family: Bacterial small subunit ribosomal RNA
Source: RNAcentral